This 253-nucleotide ribosomal RNA is filed under the name uncultured bacterium. RNAcentral describes it as "partial 16S ribosomal RNA". It matches the Rfam family "Bacterial small subunit ribosomal RNA", at positions 524 to 776 of the family's 1533-position model. The record is from RNAcentral.
UACGUAGGGUCCGAGCGUUGUCCGGAAUUAUUGGGCGUAAAGGGCUCGUAGGCGGUUUGUCGCGUCGGGAGUGAAAACACGGGGCUUAACUCCGUGCCUGCUUCCGAUACGGGCAGACUAGAGGUAUGCAGGGGAGAACGGAAUUCCUGGUGUAGCGGUGAAAUGCGCAGAUAUCAGGAGGAACACCGGUGGCGAAGGCGGUUCUCUGGGCAUUACCUGACGCUGAGGAGCGAAAGUGUGAGGAGCGAACAGG